RNAcentral lists this ribosomal RNA (843 nucleotides) under uncultured bacterium. RNAcentral describes it as "bacterial SSU rRNA". It matches the Rfam family "Bacterial small subunit ribosomal RNA", at positions 29 to 865 of the family's 1533-position model. The record is from RNAcentral.
AUGAACGCUAGCGACAGGCCUAACACAUGCAAGUCGAGGGGCAGCACGGGAGUAGCAAUACAACUGGUGGCGACCGGCGCACGGGUGAGUAACACGUAUGCAACCUACCUGUAAGAGGGGAAUAACCCGGAGAAAUUCGGACUAAUACCGCAUAAUACCUCGAAGCUGCAUGGCUUUGAGGUUAAAUAUUUAUAGCUUACAGAUGGGCAUGCGUAACAUUAGAUAGUUGGUGAGGUAACGGCUCACCAAGUCAACGAUGUUUAGGGGUUCUGAGAGGAAGGUCCCCCACACUGGUACUGAGACACGGACCAGACUCCUACGGGAGGCAGCAGUGAGGAAUAUUGGUCAAUGGGCGAGAGCCUGAACCAGCCAAGUCGCGUGAAGGAAGAAUGUCCUAUGGAUUGUAAACUUCUUUUGUAAGGGAAUAAAAAAGAGUACGUGUACUCUAUUGUAUGUACUUUACGAAUAAGGAUCGGCUAACUCCGUGCCAGCAGCCGCGGUAAUACGGAGGAUCCGAGCGUUAUCCGGAUUUAUUGGGUUUAAAGGGUGCGUAGGCGGACCAAUUAGUCAGUGGUGAAAGUUUGCAGCUCAACUGUAAAAUUGCCAUUGAAACUGUUGGUCUUGAGUGUAAAUGAGGUAGGCGGAAUGUGUUGUGUAGCGGUGAAAUGCUUAGAUAUAACACAGAACACCAAUUGCGAAGGCAGCUUACUGGGAUACAACUGACGCUGAGGCACGAAAGCGUGGGGAUCAAACAGGAUUAGAUACCCUGGUAGUCCACGCAGUAAACGAUGAAUACUAGCUGUAUGCGAUAUACUGUAUGUGGCAAAGCGAAAGCGUUUAAGU